GGGGGUCACCACCCGUCAGCGAAGAUUCGCCCACGGGUGAUUUUU
This 45-nucleotide small RNA is filed under the name marine eukaryotic metagenome. RNAcentral's name for it is "ffh sRNA". It matches the Rfam family "ffh sRNA", at positions 7 to 50 of the family's 52-position model. The record is from RNAcentral.